Molecule: long non-coding RNA, 576 nt
Organism: Panicum virgatum (switchgrass)
Lineage: Eukaryota; Viridiplantae; Streptophyta; Magnoliopsida; Poales; Poaceae
Exons: 3
Source: RefSeq, a predicted model, not a curated record
GAACGAAAUGCAAAAAUAAAUGUAAAAUUGAAGCUUCUAUUGCAGAGUCAUAUAUUUUGGAGGAGGUGUCAAACUUCACAACCAAAUACUAUGGUGACAAUCUUCCCAGCGUGCAUAAUCCACCCCCUCGUUACAAUGCUGGCGAUAAUGAAUCGAGUCUCAGCAUCUUCCGAGGACAACUUGGAAGUGCAAGUGAUGCGAGGUACAAGACCUUGAACCAUGAAGAGUGGCGCCGUAUCAUGCUAUACGUGUUGACCAACCUUUCCGAGGUGGAGCCGUAUAUUGUCGAAUUUCAACGACUAUUUUGGCGUCGCUCAAGGGCUCCAACCCCGAUAGAAAUGGAGAGUCUUCUUAAGAAUGGCGCGGGAAAUUCACAACCCGAUUUCAUUUAUUGGUUCCAACAGAAGGGCCAAACUGAUUCAUCCAUGAGUGCCGAGUUGAGACAGGUUGCCGAUGGUUUUAGCUACAGGGUCAAGUCGUUUAACGUUUAUGAUGUGAAUGGAUAUCGCUUCCACACAAUGACAUACGAGCAGAGUCGACCCAAUCGAAGAACCACUAAUACCAGUGUUUUUACGC